RNAcentral lists this long non-coding RNA (568 nucleotides) under Manihot esculenta (cassava). RNAcentral's name for it is "long non-coding RNA (MESC_LNC009018)". The record is from RNAcentral. Lineage: Eukaryota; Viridiplantae; Streptophyta; Magnoliopsida; Malpighiales; Euphorbiaceae.
CUAUGAGGUUUGAAGUGAGAGACAUAACAAGAAUGACAAAUAAACUUGACCUUAGAAAGGGAUCACCAUCAUAGCCAACAUAGUUUGAGAUUACAAUGCUAAUCAUUUAUUUUUCUUCUGGAUCUGAAUCAUUGCAGUGUAUAACAAACUCCAAGGAAAUGCUUGUCCAACACCCCUCAGGGCCACUAAACUGAGACAUGUCAUGCUCAAAAAGAAUGGUCAAAUACGAAUACCUGCAAUGAGUGAAACUGAUCCUAUCACUUACCAACAAUAGAAUCCAAUACCUCAUGCAGUUAUAUGGCCAUGAAUUGGAGAUGUUAACGGUUACCUUAUCAACAACUUCAAAUGACUAAAAGAACCUGUAAGAAUUAAUGAACUCAUCAGAUUCCGGCACCAGUUGAGUUAAGUCCCAUUUUCUGAUCAACUUCAAUGGUAAGCAUUUCAAAUGUCUUGGAAGUUGCAAACAAAAAGUAACAAUCCAUUUUCUGAUCAACUUCAAUGGUAAGCAUUACAAAUGUAUUGGGAGUUGCCAACAAAAAGUAACAAUCUUUACAAAACCCGACAUCGA